AGGGUAUACGAUAGCUGCGCUCCCCUGCUAGAACAUCCAAACAAGCUCAAGGUCCAUUUGUAGGAGAAUGUAGGGUAGUCAAGCUGGAUAAAUUUGCUGGAGUUCUGUGGCAUUGGUGAUACUGAUUUUACUU
Molecule: non-coding RNA, 133 nt
Organism: Podarcis lilfordi (Lilford's wall lizard)
Lineage: Eukaryota; Metazoa; Chordata; Lepidosauria; Squamata; Lacertidae
Source: the annotation of a GenBank genome assembly